RNAcentral lists this ribosomal RNA (253 nucleotides) under uncultured bacterium. Its description in RNAcentral is "partial 16S ribosomal RNA". It matches the Rfam family "Bacterial small subunit ribosomal RNA", at positions 524 to 776 of the family's 1533-position model. The record is from RNAcentral.
UACGGAGGGGACUAGCGUUGUUCGGAUUUACUGGGCGUAAAGGGCGCGUAGGCGGUCUGUUAAGUUAGAAGUGAAAGCCUGGGGCUUAACCCCAGAACUGCUUCUAAAACUGGCAAACUAGAGUACGGGAGAGGAUAGUGGAAUUCCUAGUGUAGAGGUGAAAUUCUUAGAUAUUAGGAGGAACACCGGUGGCGAAAGCGACUAUCUGGAACGUUACUGACGCUGAGGCGCGAAAGCGUGGGGAGCAAACAGG